UUGUGUCAAUUUUUGAUCCAAAUGACUCCUUUAACUCCAUAUUAGAAAUUUGCCUGUAUGCUUCAUCGUCGAGAAUUUCAAGCCUUUCGUCUCGUUUGUUGAAACCAGUGACAAACUCUUGACGAGAGUAUAUAUCCCUACUUUCGCCAAUAUAGUAAGCAUUAUUUUUGUUCAAUUUGGUUUUGCACAUUGGACACGACGAACUAUGCUUCAACCACGCUUCCAAACAAAAACUACAGUACAAAUGGCCUAACAAGUUAACUAGAUAAA
This is a non-coding RNA of Schizosaccharomyces pombe (fission yeast), 270 nucleotides long. NCBI's taxonomy places the organism in Eukaryota, Fungi, Ascomycota, Schizosaccharomycetes, Schizosaccharomycetales, Schizosaccharomycetaceae. The record is from the annotation of a GenBank genome assembly.